UACGGAGGAUCCGAGCGUUAUCCGGAUUUAUUGGGUUUAAAGGGAGCGUAGGUGGAUUGUUAAGUCAGUUGUGAAAGUUUGCGGCUCAACCGUAAAAUUGCAGUUGAAACUGGCAGUCUUGAGUACAGUAGAGGUGGGCGGAAUUCGUGGUGUAGCGGUGAAAUGCUUAGAUAUCACGAAGAACGCCGAUUGCGAAGGCAGCUCACUGGACUGCAACUGACACUGAGGCUCGAAAGUGUGGGUAUCAAACAGG
This 253-nucleotide ribosomal RNA is filed under the name uncultured bacterium. Its description in RNAcentral is "partial 16S ribosomal RNA". It matches the Rfam family "Bacterial small subunit ribosomal RNA", at positions 524 to 776 of the family's 1533-position model. The record is from RNAcentral.